Non-coding RNA from Stylophora pistillata, 75 nucleotides. The record is from the annotation of a RefSeq genome assembly. NCBI's taxonomy places the organism in Eukaryota, Metazoa, Cnidaria, Anthozoa, Scleractinia, Pocilloporidae.
GGCUUGUUAGCUCAGUUGGUAGAGCACUGCACCUGUAUUGCAGAGGUCAUGGGUUCAAAUCCCAUGUAAGGGCCU